GCGCGCGUAGCUCAGUUGGUUAGAGCGUCUGGUUUACACCCAGAAGGUCCCUGGUUCGAAUCCAGGCGCGCGCACCA
This 77-nucleotide transfer RNA is filed under the name Candidatus Peregrinibacteria bacterium. RNAcentral describes it as "tRNA-Val". It matches the Rfam family "tRNA". Rfam says of the family: Transfer RNA (tRNA) molecules are approximately 80 nucleotides in length. Their secondary structure includes four short double-helical elements and three loops (D, anti-codon, and T loops). Further hydrogen bonds mediate the characteristic L-shaped molecular structure. tRNAs have two regions of fundamental functional importance: the anti-codon, which is responsible for specific mRNA codon recognition, and the 3' end, to which the tRNAs corresponding amino acid is attached (by aminoacyl-tRNA synthetases). tRNAs cope with the degeneracy of the genetic code in two manners: having more than one tRNA (with a specific anti-codon) for a particular amino acid; and 'wobble' base-pairing, i.e. permitting non-standard base-pairing at the 3rd anti-codon position. The record is from RNAcentral. Lineage: Bacteria; Candidatus Peregrinibacteriota.